Molecule: ribosomal RNA, 255 nt
Filed under: uncultured prokaryote
Description: partial 16S ribosomal RNA
Rfam family: Bacterial small subunit ribosomal RNA
Source: RNAcentral
UAAUACAGAGGUCUCAACCGUUGUUCGGAUUCAUUGGGCGUAAAGGGUGCGUAGGCGGUCGCGCAAGUCGGAUGUGAAAUCUCGGGGCUCAACCCCGAAACUGCAUUCGAUACUGCGUGGCUCGAGUACUGGAGAGGAGACUGGAAUUUACGGUGUAGCAGUGAAAUGCGUAGAUAUCGUAAGGAAGACCAGUGGCGAAGGCGAGUCUCUGGACAGUUACUGACGCUGAGGCACGAAGGCCAGGGGAGCAAACGG